RNAcentral lists this long non-coding RNA (1406 nucleotides) under Chrysemys picta bellii (western painted turtle). Its description in RNAcentral is "lncRNA (ENSCPBG00000015180.1)". The record is from RNAcentral. Lineage: Eukaryota; Metazoa; Chordata; Testudines; Emydidae.
ACAAGGACAAAUGCAAAGUGCUCCACUUAGGAAGGAAAAAUCAGUUUCACACAUACAGAAUGGGAAGAGACAGUCUAGGAAGAAACUGGUAGGAAAGUAACAGAAAGCUCAGUAACACCUCCUGGUAAGAAAGGGUGGAGUAGAGCUGGGUGAAUAUUUCAUGUUUGGUUUGCUGGCCGUACCCAACACACAAAUUCACGUCAACUUGAAAUAAAAAAAACAACACCAUUUUCAGUAAACCAAAAAGUAAAAUAAAUAAUUCCUUUUGCAUUGAAUGAAACUUUGUUUGACCUAAAACAAAAUGUUUAAUUUCAGCUUUGAGUUUUUAAAAACAUUAUCUUUUUUUAAAAAUAAAAUGUAAUUAAGUUGUAUAACAAAAAGCUGCUUCAUAUAAAAAAAGUUGCAACAUUUCAUUUUGAACAUAUUGAAACAAAUCACUUUCUUUUUUCUUUACCAACUGAAACAAUUCAACGCCCAUUUGCAAAAUUUUCAAUGGGCCUGAAUCUGCCUUUUUUCAGUGGAAAAAUCUUUCGGUGCAAACAGUUUGCCCAAAUGUAGUCAGGAAGUGAGAUGCAAUUCCACCCUGCUUGCUAAGGCUGGAAAGUAACAGAUCGAAAGGACACUUUUUUUGAAUGGUUGGUGACACUGACAACCCCUGUUUCUUAGGGUUUCCAGAUGUAUUGGUUACACUGUAACCUCCCUGACUUCAGCAGCUGGAGCUACAGUUUCAUCUUGAAGGCAGAAGUAACUGAAAACCUGCAUAUUGGCCUGUUGCAGACUACAAAUGUUACUGAAUUACUUUCACUUUCAAAAUAAUUGUUAUUUCCGUAAGACUUACAAGAAACAGAAAGAGAACAAAGAAAUCACAUGUUUUGGGAAGGCAAUACAAAUACAGCAUAUAUAGACAGACAUGAAACAGAUGCAUUUCCUAUGAAGAUAACAUGCACACCCAGGCACCUUUACGGCCAGGGAAUCUGAUACAAGGAACUAAACCUUUAGAACUAGAUACAAAUGAACCAAACCCUCUAAGUGCAGGACGGUCAGAAAACGCCCCUGCUGAACAGGAUACAGGACCUGGACUCCAGCCACCAGCGGAUUCUGCUGAAGCGGCCAAUGAGGAACGCAAGGUCGGAGCUACAGACCAAGCCACUGGAGAAGCGGAGACAGAGGAGCAGAAAGAGGGGAAAACACCGGAUAGUAGAGGAUCUGGAAGUUUAGAACCAGAAAUAAAUGAAGGAAAUGAAGAAAAUGAAGGAAAACCUGAGAGUCCAGGACUUUUGAAAGGUGUCCUGUCUGGGCAGGAAUCAGGACCUGGAUCCCAGCUUCAGGCAAAAACAGAGGUAGGAGUUAUUUCCAGGUUUAUGUUUUAAGUCAGCUUAAACAGCUGUUUGGUGGCAGCUGGGUGG